GUCGCGCUAUGCUCCUUUGUUUAUUGUGCAUAAAUAGUGAAUUGUCCUGACACAAUAUUGCGUUUCGCUUCUGUUAUUAUGGUACAUUGACAAAAACAUAUACUUUUAUUCACAGGAUAAAACAGGUUUUUUGUAUCACUAAUUGCCCAGUACGAUUACAGCAUACAGUAUUAUUGUCACUGCUACAUUUCUGUGAUGCUACCAGAAAUUAUUUCCACUACUAAUUAAUUACCGUUGAGCUCAAAGGUCCUAUUAAUAAACGGUUAAGGAAUGUGUAUUUAUGACGACGAUUUGUGAGACUGGUAAACUUAUGAUACGUACGAUGGUCUUUCGUUCUACACGGUGCAUUUCAAGGUCCUGCACCCAUCCGUCGGUAAACUGUACCUGGGCUUGUUGCAGUGACCGGAAGUUACUAAACUUCAUGAGUGUGUGCACUCACUCCAAGAACCGUAUGAUUAUAAAUAUGCAUAUAAAUAUGCUAAGAUGAGAUAGCUGACUUCAUCUAACUAGCAAAUGUUUUCCAGGCUACGUUGGUGAUUCAGUUUUUUUUAAUAUGUAUGAUAUUUUUGUCAUGCGAUUUUAAAGCCGGUCCUACAACCGCAUCCAAGAAUAACAUGCAGCUUAUCACAGAACUGUCGGUGAAAAUUAUUCUUGGAGCUAGGUUUAAUUGAGCUGCAUUUUAAAGAGGUGCAAUUUCACAAUUUGUGUAUAUUUUCUAAGUUCACUAUUUUGUCAUGUGUUGAGAAAAACACAGAUUAAAAAAUUACAUGGUCUAAUAUUUACAUUUAGCAUAACUGCAACAUUAUUUUUUCGUUUUUUUUUUUUAAAGACUCGAAAGGACUUGAAAUUCAAAGUUUCAGACUUGUGACUUGACUCGGACUUUUACACCAGUGACUUGAGACUCGACUCUGACUUGCCUGACAUUACUUGAGACUUGACUUGAGACUUGAGGAUAAAGACUUGAGACUUACUUGAGACUUGCAAAACAAUGACUUGGUCCCACCUCUGUCUAUUAGUCCUUGCUCUGAUUGCCCUGUACCGUCUGCCUGAGGGCAACAGUUCGAACAGGGAGUGGCCAGGAUGUGAGGUGUCUUUUAUGAUGUUUUGGGCCUUUUUAAAACAGUGGGCAUUG
Molecule: long non-coding RNA, 1132 nt
Organism: Astatotilapia calliptera (eastern happy)
Lineage: Eukaryota; Metazoa; Chordata; Actinopteri; Cichliformes; Cichlidae
Source: Ensembl